CUUACGAAUCACCCUGUAUAAAAAGAAGAAAGAUAGAGAAGGAAGAAGUCACCGGUGAACAUUCCACGAAGGCACGGCUCAUCCAGAGCAGAAUCGUUCCCACGGUUCGCGAAUCCGCUUGGAACACCACGCCGCUCCUCCUCCAAUCGCGUUUCCACUUCCGUUCAUCUUAGUAAUUAUUCAUUGAUGCGGAAACACAAUUUAAAAGCGCGACACUUUCCUCUCCGCUCGAAAAGGGGGGAACGGAUUAGGCUGUAAAUCGUUUAGCCGAUGAAUGGAGGCACGGUGUCGGGUACGUUGAUUGGUGUUUAUCAAUUCACGUGUCACGAUUUUGGUUAGCGGGUCUGGGACAAUGAUAAACGUAUAUUCUUUCAUGGAUUGUUAUUAUUAUUAUAGUUGGUGGUGAUGAUAACCUUGGUCAUGCAUUGACGGGUAUGGUAGGAGAUGGUAGAAGAACGUUCUGUGACAUGCGUGAUGCAAACGAUGUGGAAUGGAUGAUAUAAUUGCACAGAUAAUGAUAUCUUGUGUUACAAUGUUCGUACAUCGUGAUGCGUAAGAGAUUAUUGAAGGAAAUAAGAAUCUAUGGAAAAUGAAGAGAUUAAAAAGUCAGGUAAAAGGAUUUUAAUGUGUAUCUGAAACUGGAUGGAAGUACUGGAUGGAAAUAUAGAAGUUUAAUUUAAGGAAAAGUGAGAAUAAGAAGUAAUAAAAGGAAGACAUUAAAGUCAAAUCGAAGAAA
This is a long non-coding RNA of Apis florea (little honeybee), 736 nucleotides long. Lineage: Eukaryota; Metazoa; Arthropoda; Insecta; Hymenoptera; Apidae. The record is from RefSeq and is a predicted model, not a curated record.